UUUGUUGACAAAUUCCGGCGGAAAAUUAACUUGAGCUGCUAAUAGGCAAUGUUUACUAGUGUUAUCUUGUUUAUAAUUUGAUUGAAUGACUAAUUAGUAUUGUAUCAUUUAGUUACAAUGUGAAUAUUAAAUUUCUCUUAAUGAACAGAAGGAAUUUUCAAUAUCGUGUUCCAUAACAAAGAUGCUAUUAUUUGAUGAAACAUGCAACAAUUUUACUCAAUGAAAGUUUAUCAAGAUGGUGCGUUUUGAGACAGUAAAUCAUUAACAAAUUAUCUUGGAUAAUAAACAUUCUUUUCCAAAUAUUUUAUCAUGAUGCAAACAGCUACUCAAUUUGAAUGACAUCUGGAGAAGUCGGACUGCUUACAAUGGAACCUGCAUUAAACGAAGCGAUGCCAAUGAAAUAAGUGACUACCGCAGUUAUCAAAGUUCCAGUUAUAGAUGGACAGACUAACAUUUUACCAAAAAUUGUGAUCCCAAAACUCUGGUGGUAGAUUCGUUGCAGAAAUAGCUCUGACUUGAUAUGGUAAUCCAAAACGGAUGUAUUUUAUAAAUGGAGACAGGAAAGAAAAGAAGAAACAUUGAUUAAGCUUUAAUCUAUCAUCUAUAGUCUUGUACCUCAAUUAUUAAUGAUGGAUCCUUGGUAGAAAGGCUGACAUUUAAGAUAGACAUUCUUGGUUUAGUCGUAUAAGCUGGAAUCAUUGAAAUGCUUCGAGUGAUAACAAGUAAUCGGAGUGCUUGAAAAAAAAGCUCGGUUAUGUGGUAGACAAGGUACGAAGAGCUGGUGUAGAUUAGAUCAUAAACUAAAGUGACACAUUUGGGAAUCACAAGAAGAUAAAAGGCGCCCACAAAAAUAGAAUGGGUUUGAUUCACCAACUCGAUCAAGCGACCAAUUUUCUCAUAAUUAUUUCUUAUGUAUAUCAUCUGGUCAACCCGGUCUGAAUCUUGUAACAUUGUUAACCUUAUUCGGCUCAAUCUUUUUGUUUGACGGGAUAAGCUGUUGUAUGCGCUGUUGAUAAAAGCUGAACAAGUACCUAAAUGGUCAACCAACGUAAUGUAGUAAAAUGCAGCUAUGAAUAAUAGGAUUCGUCUCCCAUAUUGCGCUAUCUUUACCCAGUAAACCUUUGCUUCUGGAGCAAAUAUACCAAGCGCAAUAAUAAGCCAAAACUGCCCCAAACUAAAGAUUAUCACAUCUUUCCGUUGUUGACGUCUAAUUUGCUUAAUAUCAUGUCUCACCUGAUUUUCACCAGAAAGCAUCAAAUCUUUCCAAAUCUCAUCAAAUUUCGCAGAAAAAGUUACCGGGUUGUAAAAAAAUUGAUCGUAAUAUGUAGCCAAGUCACCUGAUGCCGUUAAGCACGUAAAAAAGAUUGCGUUAUUUAUCUCAUUGAUGAUGGAACCUGUCAUAUAUAUUCUGGAAACAAGAAUUGAAGUUGAUGACAAAAGGACAAUGCAGCCUACGACGAAACCAAUGGAUGCAAAAAUUUUGUUAAACAACUGUAAUAUGGGCCAAUCUUGGUAAUUACGAUAAACCAAAUUAUUUUGAACCAGAUAUUGUACUAUCAAAGUACUCUGUUGAUCUUUAAAAUUCACAAUUGAAUGUUUAGACUCAGGAAACAAGUGAAACUCUUUCGAUAAUGACAUUUCUAGAGAAUCAACUUUCAACAAAUAAUCAAGAUGUUUAACUGUCAACUAACCAUAAACUGAACUGAUUAAAGCUAAACAAAAACUAUAGCAACAUAAUGUCACAAUUGAAUGGACAUACACAAAUAGACAAUAUUUAAACAAUAAGUUGUUUAUUCUGCAAUCACUGGAUUUAUUGGUUAAACCUAUGGUUUGACAAUCAAUAUAAAUAAGGCGUAAAUCUCAACAAUUUCAGUAUCAAGUAAGGUCAAAUAUUUCGCAGGAGUCCAAAAAAAGAUCUGGUCUAAAGAUUCAUGAAAAAGGAUGGACAAUGAUAAUGAAGAUAACCCAAAACCAUGAAUGAUAGACCAAAAAUGACCAUAAAAUUGGACUAAAGUAACUUAAAAUAAAUGGACAAGUGAAAACAAUUUCAACCCAUCUCUAGACUCAUUAGCCUAAUUUCAUGUAGAGAGAAACAUUUGGUUGUCUCAUGAUACCCAAAAAGAGAUACCCAAAACCAUUUCUGUCAAGACUUGACCCCCUAAACCUCUCACUCUCCCUAUCAUCCUCCCGUCUCUUCACUUCUCUUCCCUUUGGUUCCUCCUUUUUCACAUAUUUACAAUUUAGAUGAUGAGUAUCUUUUUAACCUUCUCUUGGCCUCUUUCAAUACUUAAGUGAGUCGUAAUUGCUUUUCACUUGAUAAUGAUAAUGAUUGUGAUGAUAAUAACCAUUUCAACUGAUGAUAACAACACCACACAAGACAACACAAACGCUGAUUGAACAUACAAUGUGUUAACCCAUAUUACAAUGCGAAAUAUAUUUCAUUUCGCCUUUUUUAUUUCAUCUAUUUCAUUCAAACCCAUCAUCUCAAUCAUUAUCAUCAUUACCUUUAUCAUCAUCAUUACCAACUCUCUAGACUCUCCCUCAAUAUGUUUAGCUUGCUUAUGUAAAAAUGCCUAAAAAUCGCUUAAUUUGAUUUCAAAUUUUUACCAGAUUUUUAAUUUCCAUCAAAGCAGCGAAAUUAAAUUUCCUUAAAACAAAUGAAGAAACGCUCAUUGUAAUAAUGUUGACCAGAUUGUUAUGCCAACCAAAAUAACUUGAUAUUACAAUGUUGAAUCUCAAUUGAUGCUUUGAUUGAUUGAUGACAGUUCCAAAUGAUUAUUCCAAUCGAAGUCCGUGACCUUUAAUGACAGUCAAACACGAACAAAGACUUGAACUCGCUUGGUUGAUUCAUGAAAUCAAUAUUUUUCUGCCUUUCUCCUCAGUCUGUCUUCCUCUCUCUCUCUCUCUGUAAAUCGUCACUUCAACAUUCAUCAUUUGUGGUCUCUGUUAUCAUCAUUAUCAUCAACAUUAUUAUUUAUAUUAUUGCCAUCCUUCUCAUCAUCAUUACUAUUGCUAUUAUCAUUAGCAACGGUAUUAAAAGCCUAACUACGGACACUCGAAGAUAUCAUUUUUUCACUUUAUGUUUAUCAUCAUAACUACCCUUUUUUUAAUCAUGUUUAACCCAUAAUUUUAUACUUUCAUCUCAACUCAAAUUUCCUUCUCAGUGACAACUUUUUUUUUAUUACAAUUGCUAUUUCAAUAUAUAAACAUAAUACUUGUAUAUAUAUCAUUGUAAAAUUCAGACCUCUCUGUUAUUGUAUUACAAGUAAUUUGUCUUUGUACUUUAUUUUAUCAUUACUUUUGUCAUUUCUUUACAAUCUAAUAUUUACUAUGUUAGUCUGUUUACUGUUAAUAUUGUACAAAUAAAAACAUUUAACAUUGA
Molecule: non-coding RNA, 3382 nt
Organism: Tetranychus urticae (two-spotted spider mite)
Lineage: Eukaryota; Metazoa; Arthropoda; Arachnida; Trombidiformes; Tetranychidae
Source: RefSeq, a predicted model, not a curated record